This 429-nucleotide ribosomal RNA is filed under the name Chloroflexota bacterium. RNAcentral's name for it is "Chloroflexi bacterium partial 16S ribosomal RNA". It matches the Rfam family "Bacterial small subunit ribosomal RNA", at positions 355 to 776 of the family's 1533-position model. Lineage: Bacteria; Bacillati; Chloroflexota. The record is from RNAcentral.
UGGGGAAUAUUGCACAAUGGGCGCAAGCCUGAUGCAGCCAUGCCGCGUGUAUGAAGAAGGCCUUCGGGUUGUAAAGUACUUUCAGCGGGGAGGAAGGGAGUAAAGUUAAUACCUUUGCUCAUUGACGUUACCCGCAGAAGAAGCACCGGCUAACUCCGUGCCAGCAGCCGCGGUAAUACGGAGGGUGCAAGCGUUAACCGGAAUUACUGGGCGUAAAGCGCACGCAGGCGGUUUGUUAAGUCAGAUGUGAAAUCCCCGGGCUCAACCUGGGAACUGCAUCUGAUACUGGCAAGCUUGAGUCUCGUAGAGGGGGGUAGAAUUCCAGGUGUAGCGGUGAACUGCGUAGAGAUCUGGAGGAAUACCGGUGGCGAAGGCGCCCCCCUAGACAAAGACUGACGCUCAGGUGCGAAAGCGUGUGGAUCAAACAGG